CUAGAGUUGAUUUGUUUUGAUAUUAUUAGAAUGAACUGGCAGUUUAUGAAAACACAUCUGUCAUCUCAUAUUGUAAUAUGAUAAUUAUGAUGUUUAUUCACCUCAUUAAGGACCCGGGGGUGGGAGGGUAUGUACAGUUUAAAUAGAAGGUAACUAUAACAAUAUGAAAUAAAUAACAAUCAUGCAGAUGUACUACUACUGCAAGAGUUCACAUUGCUGCACUGCACACAUUUAACAUACAUGUAGUGUUACAUAUCUAAUACUGAUUUCAGACAAGAUUUUAAAAAUUAACAUCAUAAAAUACAUGUUAUGUGUGUAAUUUUCAAUAUAUCAGCAUUUUAAAGUUCACUAAACAUGCAUUGAGACACACAAUUUUAAAAUUGACAUUGUCUGACACAGUAUAAUUAAUGAUUAAUACUGACAGUGCAAAUAUUAAUUAUGAUGAUUUUUUUCUAAGCAUCAUCCUAAGGACCAGUGCAAGUUGAAAUGGGCUUCCAGCCAACAACUUCAACAGCAAUUUGCCAUGAAAAUCAGCAAGAAAGGUACUUCAUUUACAUUGAUGAUGUCAUAUCCCCUGAACCCCACAACUUUACAGGUUACAGAGAAAAUUCAAGAACUUCUGCACAAUGUGGGACUCGGAUAGAAUCAAUAAUGUAUUUGUGAGCCCAGAUAUAUUGUGCAA
Molecule: long non-coding RNA, 682 nt
Organism: Ostrea edulis (European flat oyster)
Lineage: Eukaryota; Metazoa; Mollusca; Bivalvia; Ostreida; Ostreidae
Exons: 2
Source: RefSeq, a predicted model, not a curated record